CCUACGGGAGGCAGCAGUGAGGAAUAUUGGUCAAUGGACGCGAGUCUGAACCAGCCAAGUAGCGUGAAGGAUGACUGCCCUAUGGGUUGUAAACUUCUUUUAUAAAGGAAUAAAACGAGGCACGUGUGCCUUUUUGCAUGUACUUUAUGAAUAAGGAUCGGCUAACUCCGUGCCAGCAGCCGCGGUAAUACGGAGGAUCCGAGCGUUAUCCGGAUUUAUUGGGUUUAAAGGGAGCGUAGAUGGGUUGUUAAGUCAGUUGUGAAAGUUUGCGGCUCAACCGUAAAAUUGCAAUUGAUACUGGCAGUCGUGAGUACAGUUGAGGUAGGCGGAAUUCGUGGUGUAGCGGUGAAAUGCUUAGAUAUCACGAAGAACCCCGAUUGCGAAGGCAGCUUACUAAACUGCGACUGACAUUGAUGCUCGAAAGUGUGGGUAUCAAACAGGAUUAGAUACCCUGGUAGUC
Molecule: ribosomal RNA, 460 nt
Filed under: uncultured bacterium
Lineage: Bacteria
Description: partial 16S ribosomal RNA
Rfam family: Bacterial small subunit ribosomal RNA
Source: RNAcentral